This 220-nucleotide ribosomal RNA is filed under the name uncultured Pseudomonas sp. RNAcentral describes it as "partial 16S ribosomal RNA". The record is from RNAcentral. Lineage: Bacteria; Pseudomonadati; Pseudomonadota; Gammaproteobacteria; Pseudomonadales; Pseudomonadaceae.
GCGGGGUCUUUUUCUGAUGUACGUCAGCACUAUACGCUAUUAACCGCACAGCUUUUCCUCCCAUACUUGAAGUGCUUUACAACCCGAAGGCCUUCUUCACACACGCGGCAUUGCUGGAUCAGGCUUGCCCCCAUUGUCCAAUAUUCCCCACUGCUGCCUCCCGUAGGAGUCCCCCCGUGCCCCCGCCCCGCCCGCCGCGCGCGGCGGGGGAGGGGGGGGC